UACGUAGGGUGCAAGCGUUGUCCGGAAUUAUUGGGCGUAAAGAGCUUGUAGGCGGUUUGUCGCGUCUGCUGUGAAAUUUCGGGGCUCAACCCCGAACUUGCAGUGGGUACGGGCAGACUAGAGUGUGGUAGGGGAGACUGGAAUUCCUGGUGUAGCGGUGAAAUGCGCAGAUAUCAGGAGGAACACCGAUAGCGAAGGCAGGUCUCUGGGCCAUAACUGACGCUGAGAAGCGAAAGCAUGGGGAGCGAACAGG
RNAcentral lists this ribosomal RNA (253 nucleotides) under uncultured bacterium. RNAcentral's name for it is "partial 16S ribosomal RNA". It matches the Rfam family "Bacterial small subunit ribosomal RNA", at positions 524 to 776 of the family's 1533-position model. The record is from RNAcentral.